Molecule: ribosomal RNA, 588 nt
Filed under: uncultured bacterium
Lineage: Bacteria
Description: bacterial SSU rRNA
Rfam family: Bacterial small subunit ribosomal RNA
Source: RNAcentral
CCUACGGGAGGCAGCAGUGGGGAAUUUUUCGCAAUGGGGGCAACCCUGACGAAGCAAUGCCGCGUGGAUGAAGAAGGCCUUCGGGUUGUAAAGUCCUUUCGUGGGGGACGAAAAGGUGGUUCCUAAUACGAGCUGCUGUUGACGUGAACCCAAGAAGAAGCACCGGCUAACUCCGUGCCAGCAGCCGCGGUAAUACGGGGGGUGCAAGCGUUAAUCGGAAUCACUGGGCGUAAAGGGUGCGUAGGCGGUACGUUAGGUCUGUCGUGAAAUCCCCGGGCUCAACCUGGGAAUGGCGGUAGAAACCGGCGAACUAGAGUAUGGGAGAGGGUGGUGGAAUUCCAGGUGUAGCGGUGAAAUGCGUAGAGAUCUGGAGGAACAUCAGUGGCGAAGGCGGCCACCUGGCCCAAUACUGACGCUGAGGCACGAAAGCGUGGGGAGCAAACAGGAUUAGAUACCUGGUAGUCACGCCCUAAACGAUGAAUACUAGAUGUUUGGUACCUAACCGUACUGAGUGUCGUAGCUAACGCGAUAAGUUUUCCCGCCUGGGAAGUACGGCCGCAAGGUUAAAAACUCAAAAGGAAUUGACGG